UACGGAGGGGGCUAGCGUUAUUCGGAAUUACUGGGCGUAAAGCGUGCGUAGGUGGUUUGUUAAGUCUGAUGUGAAAGCCCUGGGCUCAACCUGGGAAUUGCAUUGGAUACUGGCAGGCUAGAGUGCGGUAGAGGGUAGUGGAAUUCCCGGUGUAGCAGUGAAAUGCGUAGAUAUCGGGAGGAACACCAGUGGCGAAGGCGACUACCUGGACCAGCACUGACACUGAGGCACGAAAGCGUGGGGAGCAAAUAGG
This 253-nucleotide ribosomal RNA is filed under the name uncultured bacterium. Its description in RNAcentral is "partial 16S ribosomal RNA". It matches the Rfam family "Bacterial small subunit ribosomal RNA", at positions 524 to 776 of the family's 1533-position model. The record is from RNAcentral.